CAAUAGCGUAUAUUAACGUUGUUGCAGUUAAAAAGCUCGUAGUUGGAUUUCUGGAGGGAGCGUCGGCCCGUAUUUACGAGUGCGUGACGUCUCUGUCCAUCCUUGCGGGAAGGCACGGCAUUGAUUUGUUGUGUCGGAUCGCAUCAUUUACUGUGAAAAAAUUAGAGUGUUCAAAGCAGGCUUUCGCUUGAAUACAUUAGCAUGGAAUAAUAAGAAAGGACUUUGGUGCUAUUUUGUUGGUUGAGCCUAAAGUAAUGAUUAAUAGGGAUAGUUGGGGGCACCUGUAUUGCGUUGUCAGAGGUGAAAUUCUUGGAUUUACGCAAGACAAACAGCUGCGAAAGCGUCUGCCAAGGAUGUUUUCAUUA
This 365-nucleotide ribosomal RNA is filed under the name uncultured eukaryote. RNAcentral describes it as "partial 18S ribosomal RNA". It matches the Rfam family "Eukaryotic small subunit ribosomal RNA", at positions 592 to 975 of the family's 1831-position model. The record is from RNAcentral.